GAUGAACGCUAGCGGCAGGCUUAAUACAUGCAAGUCGAGGGGUAAGGUCUCUUCGGAGAUACACGACCGGCGAACGGGUGCGUAACGCGUACACAAUCUACCUUUAAGUGAAGAAUAGCCUCGGGAAACUGAGAUUAAUACUUCAUAAUAUAAUUGAUAGGCAUCUAUUAAUUAUUAAAGCUCCGGCGCUUAAAGAUGGGUGUGCGUCCCAUUAGGUAGUUGGUGAGGUAAUGGCUCACCAAGCCGACGAUGGGUAGCGGGCGUGAGAGCGUGAACCGCCACACGGGCACUGAGACACGGGCCCGACUCCUACGGGAGGCAGCAGUAAGGAAUAUUGGGCAAUGGGCGAAAGCCUGACCCAGCCAUGCCGCGUGAAGGAUGAAGGUUCUCUGGAUUGUAAACUUCUUUUAUAAGGGAAGAAACCCUUGGAUUUAUCCGAGGCUGACGGUACCUUAUGAAUAAGCACCGGCUAACUCCG
This 478-nucleotide ribosomal RNA is filed under the name uncultured Bacteroidota bacterium. Its description in RNAcentral is "bacterial SSU rRNA". It matches the Rfam family "Bacterial small subunit ribosomal RNA", at positions 28 to 505 of the family's 1533-position model. Lineage: Bacteria; Pseudomonadati; Bacteroidota. The record is from RNAcentral.